CUAAUCCACCAGGUACGUGAUCCUGAAAUGGAGCUGCAGAGCUGCCAUGUAAGGAAAGGGAAAAGGACCAAACAGAUAGGUCAGCCUGGUCACAGUGCACAAACAUUCUGAAAAAUGCCAGAAAAGAUCAUGCAAAGCAGACUGUACUGCAUGAACGAGGACUUUUCCUUCAUCACAGGCCUGGUGCUAUUGGAGGCCGGAAGAGGGCUUUAGGAUUCAUUGGAACUGGAGAUGAAGUACAGAUAAACAGUACAGCCUCUUCUAUUGACCCUGGAGCAAGAUUGGAGUGAAAAGACCCUUGUGGAUUUGCCUGGUCUUGCUGGAUUGAAGAUAAAUGAUCACCCAAGAAAGAAAGAUGUUUUCCUCAGAAGACUUCCCCUUGUUUGCUGACAGAAAGAGCCAUGCCAUCAGUUUCUCUGUGAUUGCUAUUUUUUCCCUCUCUGAAAUAAAGACAAAUCCUGACAUUGAAUAUAUUC
Mastomys coucha (southern multimammate mouse) is the source of this 476-nucleotide long non-coding RNA. RefSeq lists it as uncharacterized. The transcript has 3 exons. Lineage: Eukaryota; Metazoa; Chordata; Mammalia; Rodentia; Muridae. The record is from RefSeq and is a predicted model, not a curated record.